RNAcentral lists this ribosomal RNA (253 nucleotides) under uncultured bacterium. RNAcentral's name for it is "partial 16S ribosomal RNA". It matches the Rfam family "Bacterial small subunit ribosomal RNA", at positions 524 to 776 of the family's 1533-position model. The record is from RNAcentral.
UACAGAGACUGCAAGCGUUGUUCGGAUUCACUGGGCGUAAAGGGUGCGUAGGCGGCGCGGUAAGUCGGGUGUGAAAUCUCGGAGCUUAACUCCGAAACUGCAUUCGAUACUGCCGUGCUUGAGGACUGGAGAGGAGACUGGAAUUUACGGUGUAGCGGUGAAAUGCGUAGAUAUCGUAAGGAAGACCAGUGGCGAAGGCGGGUCUCUGGACAGUUCCUGACGCUGAGGCACGAAGGUCAGGGGAGCAAACGGG